Molecule: long non-coding RNA, 233 nt
Filed under: Elaeis guineensis (African oil palm)
Lineage: Eukaryota; Viridiplantae; Streptophyta; Magnoliopsida; Arecales; Arecaceae
Description: long non-coding RNA (EGUI_LNC080715)
Source: RNAcentral
GGGUCCGAUCUCGGGGAUGAGACGCCGCAACCGACGGUGCCAGUGGCCGAAAAAGAGAGGAAAGGGUUCCGGCCGAACAAGGGUUUCCUGUUUCAUGGAAUUUUCGGCGAUCCCGAUGGCCGGCGAGGAGUCUAAAACCAUGGAAAGAAAGAGAAGAGGGAGAGGAAGAAAGAUUGAACCCUCACCUGAACUCCGGUGGCCUCUUCGACCUUCGAUUUUCGACGAACACAAGA